ACACACACACACUACUCCUGGCCACAAGUUAGCAACUGAGGAAGCAUCUGAAUGGUGGUCCUUGUCUCUGUUACAAUCUGCUAUGUAAUAUCCAAAAAUUAUUAAUACUCAUAAUACUGACCCUGUUACUAUCAUUCAACAACAUCCCUUACCUUGCUUCAGAAAAAAAUGGCCCUGUAUUAUUAGAAACUAAAUAGCUACCAUACUAAAAUAUCUGUUAUAGAUAUAUAUCCUAAGAAAACUAAUGGGAAUUAUCUUCUUACUUUAUCCCAUUCAGGGCUGGCCCUGCCAAUGCUGUCCUACUGGGUCUCAUUGCUUUUAAAAAUUGGAAAGGGAACUUCUGAAGUAAUGAAGGGCCAACCAACCUGAUCUAGAAUACAGUACUUCCACAUUGUAUAUUUCUUUUAUUUUCUUUAUAACAUUGUUCUCCUGUCCUUUCUUAAAGGAGUUCAGCAUAGGUUCCAUGAUUUUCCUUUCAAUCCAUGUUGUCUUCAUACAAGCUUUGUGAGAGAUGAGGCUGAAUGAUACUGAUUGGCCCAAAGUUCCCCUAUUGAACCUCAUGGCUCAGAGACGAUCUCGGUGACCAUGUUCUUGGUCCUUCAUGGGACUGACGGGAGGCUUCUUCCUUCCUUUCCCAGCCUCAUCAGCAUUUAAAUCACUCCUGCAAGUAGGACCUUUAAAUGUUGGAUAGAGUUUGGUGCUCGGUGUGGCACAAUCCUUUUCAGAGACUGGAAUUUAAUACUUUCAAAUCCAGGCAUAACAAGGAAGAGGAUAAAGUCCAUUUGAGAAAAGUGAUGUCAAGCACUUAGAGGCCACCUGUAAACAUCACUAGUUUAUUAAGCAAACAGUCCUUGAUGCUGGCCACAGUACAAGUUUACCAUUAUCAGUUAAUGAUUACACAUUCCUAUCAGUGUGUAAUCUGUGGCCUUUGAACGUCUUUUAUUUUUCUUGGAAAAAGAAAAAGGAAAAAUUAAUCCUGGGUUGUUCUUCAUAGCACCAGUACUGAUUUAUACAGGAAAUGGUCCGACAAGUAAAACUGCAGCUGUGAAAUCAUGGGAGAUCCAGAUUCAAAUCCAUCUUCAGCUAUGGAAAUUCACUGAGUGAUUUUGGGCCACUCACCAUUGCUCAGCCCAAAUUACCCGAAGGAUUUGUAGUGAAUAUAAAAGUGAAGGGAUGCUUUAUAUCCUCUCUUAAAUUCUAAAAAUUAAGAUGGGAUAUCUCAUCUCUCAUUAUUGUUAUUAUUAUUACCACCCAGAAGAAGAGGAAGAGAUUGUAUGGUCAAUAAUAUGCUUGAUGACUGUAUUGUACUGAUGGGGGAAUUAAAGCUUGAAAUGAGACAACUGUAUGUACAACAUACAAACAGUC
Long non-coding RNA from Python bivittatus (Burmese python), 1365 nucleotides. RefSeq lists it as uncharacterized. The record is from RefSeq and is a predicted model, not a curated record. Lineage: Eukaryota; Metazoa; Chordata; Lepidosauria; Squamata; Pythonidae.